RNAcentral lists this ribosomal RNA (500 nucleotides) under uncultured bacterium. Its description in RNAcentral is "partial 16S ribosomal RNA". It matches the Rfam family "Bacterial small subunit ribosomal RNA", at positions 30 to 523 of the family's 1533-position model. The record is from RNAcentral.
AUUGAACGCUGGCGGCAUGCCUUACACAUGCAAGUCGAACGGCAGCACGGGAGCAAUCCUGGUGGCGAGUGGCGAACGGGUGAGUAAUAUAUCGGAACGUGCCCAGUCGUGGGGGAUAACGUAGCGAAAGCUACGCUAAUACCGCAUACGAUCUAUGGAUAAAAGCGGGGGAUCGCAAGACCUCGCGCGAUUGGAGCGGCCGAUAUCAGGUUAGGUAGUUGGUGAGGUAAAGGCUCACCAAGCCGACGAACUGUAGCUGGUCUGAGAGGACGACCAGCCACACUGGAACUGAGACACGGUCCAGACUCCUACGGGAGGCAGCAGUGGGGAAUUUUGGACAAUGGGCGCAAGCCUGAUCCAGCAAUGCCGCGUGCAGGAUGAAGGCCUUCGGGUUGUAAACUGCUUUUGUACGGAACGAAACGGUGAGCUCUAAUACAGUUUGCUAAUGACGGUACCGUAAGAAUAAGCACCGGCUAACUACGUGCCAGCAGCCGCCGUAA